GGGGGCGACUGGUAUCGACGGAGAUACGGAACCCUGUGGUGCAUGCCGGGUUGGUGAUCCCGUAAAAACUGCCAACGGCAAUUAACUGCCAACGACGACGUAGAACUAGCUUACGCAGCGUAAGUUACCCUGUCUUUGAGGUCGCCCAUCGCCUCGGAGAACAGGGCCAUCAAGAUGGGACCGCCUAGCGCAUUGUUGACUCGUGGUGCAUAGGUUAAAAAAUUACGGAUCGACCCUUUGAACGCUUUGUUCGUUCAGUUUUCUUAGGGUGCUAUAAGAAUGAACUAAGCAUGUAGAUCUACAGGCAGAAGGUUUCCGGACGCGAGUUCGAAUCUCGCCGCCUCCACCA
This 349-nucleotide transfer-messenger RNA is filed under the name Mariprofundales bacterium. It matches the Rfam family "transfer-messenger RNA". From Rfam's summary of the family: Bacterial tmRNA, also known as 10Sa RNA or SsrA, is named for its dual tRNA and mRNA-like properties. Its role is to liberate the mRNA from a stalled ribosome. The record is from RNAcentral. Lineage: Bacteria; Pseudomonadati; Pseudomonadota; Candidatius Mariprofundia; Mariprofundales.